AGUCGAGCGAUGAAGUUCCUUCGGGAACGGAUUAGCGGCGGACGGGUGAGUAACACGUGGGUAACCUGCCUUAUAGAGGGGAAUAGCCUUCCGAAAGGAAGAUUAAUACCGCAUAAAGUUGUUGAUUCGCAUGGAUCGAUAACCAAAGGAGCAAUCCGCUAUAAGAUGGACCCGCGGCGCAUUAGCUAGUUGGUGAGGUAACGGCUCACCAAGGCGACGAUGCGUAGCCGACCUGAGAGGGUGAUCGGCCACAUUGGGACUGAGACACGGCCCAGACUCCUACGGGAGGCAGCAGUGGGGAAUAUUGCACAAUGGGGGAAACCCUGAUGCAGCAACGCCGCGUGAGUGAUGAAGGCCUUCGGGUUGUAAAACUCUGUCUUUGGGGACGAUAAUGACGGUACCCAAGGAGGAAGCCACGGCUAACUACGUGCCAGCAGCCGCGGUAAUACGUAGGUGGCAAGCGUUGUCCGGAUUUACUGGGCGUAAAGGGAGCGUAGGCGGAUUUUUAAGUGGGAUGUGAAAUACCCGGGCUCAACUUGGGUGCUGCAUUCCAAACUGGAAGUCUAGAGUGCAGGAGAGGAAAGUGGAAUUCCUAGUGUAGCGGUGAAAUGCGUAGAGAUUA
RNAcentral lists this ribosomal RNA (622 nucleotides) under uncultured bacterium. RNAcentral describes it as "bacterial SSU rRNA". It matches the Rfam family "Bacterial small subunit ribosomal RNA", at positions 60 to 699 of the family's 1533-position model. The record is from RNAcentral.